CCUACGGGUGGCAGCAGUGGGGAAUAUUGGACAAUGGGGGGAACCCUGAUCCAGCCAUGCCGCGUGUGUGAAGAAGGCCCUCGGGUUGUAAAGCACUUUCAGUGAGGAAGAACGCCUGGUGGUUAAUACCCAUCAGGAAAGACAUCACUCACAGAAGAAGCACCGGCUAACUCCGUGCCAGCAGCCGCGGUAAUACGGAGGGUGCGAGCGUUAAUCGGAAUUACUGGGCGUAAAGCGCGCAUAGGUGGCUUGAUAAGCCGGUUGUGAAAGCCCCGGGCUCAACCUGGGAACGGCAUCCGGAACUGUCAAGCUAGAGUGCAGGAGAGGAAGGUAGAAUUCCCGGUGUAGCGGUGAAAUGCGUAGAGAUCGGGAGGAAUACCAGUGGCGAAGGCGGCCUUCUGGACUGACACUGACACUGAGGUGCGAAAGCGUGGGUAGCAAACAGGAUUAGAUACCCGGGUAGUC
This 465-nucleotide ribosomal RNA is filed under the name Vreelandella stevensii. RNAcentral's name for it is "partial 16S ribosomal RNA". It matches the Rfam family "Bacterial small subunit ribosomal RNA", at positions 338 to 795 of the family's 1533-position model. Lineage: Bacteria; Pseudomonadati; Pseudomonadota; Gammaproteobacteria; Oceanospirillales; Halomonadaceae. The record is from RNAcentral.